GGCGGCUCCAAACUCCUCUCCUCUCCAGCGCAAACAUCCCUCUCCCCGGCUCCCUUUCCUCUUCUUGGCCGGACGGACACCCACCCACCCCGAGCGAGCGCCUCCUCCAGAUUGUCCUGCAAAAAUACUGCAUUUUAUGAUCGGAGAACUUGUGAGGAGCUCCUAGAAGAAGAGCCAAGUUGAUCCUGCAAAAUUGGAUAGCUGGUCCGGCAGGGCUGGCUUCAGAAGAUCAGCCACGGCUCUAAGGAGAGUAACCCGUGUUACACCAAGAAGGGAAAGGCAAUGUGUCCAUCGCUUUCCUAAGUUUCUGCUUGCAUCGCCUUCUUUCCACGGUGGCCGUGGUGCCCUCCCAUCUGCAGGGGGGCAUCCUUCUGAUCUGACCUACCUUGCUGGUGGUGGUGCUGCACAAUUCUGAAGUAGGCCUUUAGCAUCAUAGUUAGUUCAGUUAGUAGUCCAUAAUAUUAAGAGUUGUAAGUAUGGUGUCGGCCACCAAACUAGAAGGUGGAUAUUGUUUUCACAGCAAGAACUCUCCUCUCGAUCAACCUGAAGGUGUGAAGAUACAUCUUUACCGUCUUGGAAUAGAACAGCGUGAACAUGAUGCCCUCAAAAGCUUUGCAUGUGCUGGUGAAGGCAGCCCAAGUUUACUUGAUACAAUCAUUCUUUCUCAGUGGGAGAACUUUGCUCAGAAGGGCCAGUUGGGAUAUGAUGUUACUACUUGCGAACUUAAGGUCAUUGAAGGUCAAAGGGAUUUUGUUAUUCAGAUGAAUGAUAAAUGGAAUUCAUUUUCCCUCAAGAAAUAUGACAAGUUCGGCCAUCCUUUCGGAUGCUUGAAGCCAAAUUCUGCUAGAAGCUACGAGGAAUUACUUUUGUGCAUCGCAGAAGGAGAAAAUAAUGAACCGGAGGUUGUUCCUUCGAUUACACCCCCAAACAAUGGAGUACUGCUGAUCGCGAAUGCAUAUCCUGUUGAAUAUGGUCACAUUUUCUUGGUCCCAAAUGCAACUAAUCAGCUAUCUUCCUUUUGGGAUAAAAGGAUGUUUGGGCUGAUUACAAAGAUUGCCUCUGAAGUAAACAGUGCAGCGUUCCGGGUUUUCUUUGAUGAUGGUACAUCUAUUGUGCCAAAGCACAUGUUUUUUCAGGCCUGUUACUUUGCCAAUCCUUUACCAGUGGAGUCUUCCUCAACUGUUGCAUUAUAUGAUGGGGCAACCAGAUCAGGCAUUUGUGUGUCUGAAAUAGUUGAUUACCCUCUAAAAGCACUUGUGUUCACGAGCACCAAUGUAAAUGCACUUGUCGAUGUAGUGAGUGAAGCAUGCUUGGCUUUGCAUGAGAACAAUACUGUGCACAGCCUAAUGAUGUCCAACAACGGCAGAAAUGUUUUCUUAUUCCCCCAGGUGAAAAAUCUGGUCACUGGCUGCUGUCUUUCUGCCUGGGAGUGCUGUGGCUACUUUGUUUAUCACACCAAAGUUGAUUUCGACCGAGCUUCU
This 1481-nucleotide ribosomal RNA is filed under the name Triticum aestivum (bread wheat). RNAcentral describes it as "partial small subunit ribosomal RNA". The record is from RNAcentral. Lineage: Eukaryota; Viridiplantae; Streptophyta; Magnoliopsida; Poales; Poaceae.